AACGAACGCUGGCGGCAGGCUUAACACAUGCAAGUCGAGCGCCCCGCAAGGGGAGCGGCAGACGGGUGAGUAACGCGUGGGAACAUACCCUUUGGUUCGGAAUAACUCAGGGAAACUUGAGCUAAUACCGGAUACGUCCGUAAGGAGAAAGAUUUAUCGCCAAAGGAUUGGCCCGCGUCCGAUUAGCUAGUUGGUGAGGUAACGGCUCACCAAGGCUACGAUCGGUAGCUGGUCUGAGAGGAUGAUCAGCCACAUUGGGACUGAGACACGGCCCAAACUCCUACGGGAGGCAGCAGUGGGGAAUAUUGGACAAUGGGCGCAAGCCUGAUCCAGCCAUGCCGCGUGAGUGAUGAAGGCCUUAGGGUUGUAAAGCUCUUUUGUCCGGGAAGAUAAUGACUGUACCGGAAGAAUAAGCCCCGGCUAACUUCGUG
Molecule: ribosomal RNA, 431 nt
Filed under: uncultured bacterium
Lineage: Bacteria
Description: bacterial SSU rRNA
Rfam family: Bacterial small subunit ribosomal RNA
Source: RNAcentral